This 429-nucleotide ribosomal RNA is filed under the name uncultured bacterium. RNAcentral describes it as "bacterial SSU rRNA". It matches the Rfam family "Bacterial small subunit ribosomal RNA", at positions 355 to 776 of the family's 1533-position model. The record is from RNAcentral.
UGGGGAAUUUUGGACAAUGGGCGCAAGCCUGAUCCAGCCAUGCCGCGUGUGUGAAGAAGGCCUUCGGGUUGUAAAGCACUUUCGGACGGAACGAAAUCGCAGGGGUUAAUAUCCUCUGUGGAUGACGGUACUGUAAGAAGAAGCACCGGCUAACUACGUGCCAGCAGCCGCGGUAAUACGUAGGGUGCGAGCGUUAAUCGGAAUUACUGGGCGUAAAGCGUGCGCAGGCGGUCUCGCAAGUCGAGUGUGAAAUCCCCGAGCUUAACUUGGGAAUUGCGCUCGAAACUAUGAGGCUAGAGUGUGGCAGAGGGAGGUGGAAUUCCACGUGUAGCGGUGAAAUGCGUAGAUAUGUGGAGGAACACCGAUGGCGAAGGCAGCCUCCUGGGCUAACACUGACGCUCAUGCACGAAAGCGUGGGGAGCAAACAGG